GUAGACAUAGCUCAGAGGGUAAGAGCACUGGCUGUUCUAGAAACUAGGGUUCAAGUCCCAGUAUUUGCA
RNAcentral lists this transfer RNA (69 nucleotides) under Mus musculus (house mouse). It matches the Rfam family "tRNA". From Rfam's summary of the family: Transfer RNA (tRNA) molecules are approximately 80 nucleotides in length. Their secondary structure includes four short double-helical elements and three loops (D, anti-codon, and T loops). The record is from Rfam by way of RNAcentral. Lineage: Eukaryota; Metazoa; Chordata; Mammalia; Rodentia; Muridae.